GUCCAGACUCCUACGGGAGGCAGCAGUGGGGAAUAUUGGACAAUGGGGGAAACCCUGAUGCAGCGACGCCGCGUGAGCGAUGAAGUAUUUCGGUAUGUAAAGCUCUAUCAGCAGGGAAGAAGAUGACGGUACCUGACUAAGAAGCCCCGGCUAACUACGUGCCAGCAGCCGCGGUAAUACGUAGGGGGCAAGCGUUAUCCGGAUUUACUGGGUGUAAAGGGAGCGUAGACGGCGAUGCAAGCCAGAUGUGAAAGCCCGGGGCUCAACCCCGGGACUGCAUUUGGAACUGUGUGGCUGGAGUGUCGGAGAGGCAGGCGGAAUUCCUAGUGUAGCGGUGAAAUGCGUAGAUAUUAGGAGGAACACCAGUGGCGAAGGCGGCCUGCUGGACGAUGACUGACGUUGAGGCUCGAAAGCGUGGGGAGCAAACAGGAUUAGAUACCCCGGUA
RNAcentral lists this ribosomal RNA (446 nucleotides) under uncultured bacterium. Its description in RNAcentral is "bacterial SSU rRNA". It matches the Rfam family "Bacterial small subunit ribosomal RNA", at positions 329 to 792 of the family's 1533-position model. The record is from RNAcentral.